Molecule: ribosomal RNA, 222 nt
Filed under: Pseudomonadota bacterium
Lineage: Bacteria; Pseudomonadati; Pseudomonadota
Description: Proteobacteria bacterium (marine metagenome) partial 23S ribosomal RNA
Rfam family: Bacterial large subunit ribosomal RNA
Source: RNAcentral
UCAUGCCAAUGGCAUUGCUGGGUAGCUAUGUACGGACGGGAUAACCGCUGAAAGCAUCUAAGCGGGAAGCCCCCCUCAAGAUUAGGUUUCUCUGGACCUUUAAGGUCCCUAAAGGGUCGUUGUAGACUACAACGUUGAUAGGCGAGGUGUGGAAGCGCAGCAAUGCGUUAAGCUAACUCGUACUAAUUGCCCGUGAGGCUUGAUCAUAUAACACCCAAGAAG